UACGUAGGGUCCGAGCGUUGUUCGGAAUUACUGGGCGUAAAGCGCGUGUAGGCGGCAACGCAAGUCGGGCGUGAAAUCCCACGGCUCAACCGUGGAAGUGCACUCGAAACUGCGUCGCUAGAGUCCUGGAGAGGAAGGUGGAAUGCUUGGUGUAGAGGUGAAAUUCGUAGAUAUCAAGCGGAACACCGGUGGCGAAGGCGGCCUUCUGGACAGUGACUGACGCUGAGACGCGAAAGCGUGGGGAGCAAACAGG
RNAcentral lists this ribosomal RNA (253 nucleotides) under uncultured bacterium. Its description in RNAcentral is "partial 16S ribosomal RNA". It matches the Rfam family "Bacterial small subunit ribosomal RNA", at positions 524 to 776 of the family's 1533-position model. The record is from RNAcentral.